This 10552-nucleotide long non-coding RNA is filed under the name Olea europaea (common olive). RNAcentral describes it as "long non-coding RNA (OEUR_LNC015519)". Lineage: Eukaryota; Viridiplantae; Streptophyta; Magnoliopsida; Lamiales; Oleaceae. The record is from RNAcentral.
CGCAUAGAGUUGCUCUAUGCGGUCACAUAGAGCAAUUCUCAGGUAAAAUUGCAGUUUCCUUUUUCCGCCAAAACUCUUAUGGAAACAAUAUUUUUAGGGUCCUAUAUAAACAAAAACUUGACCAGAAUGAAGGGGAUGCCAUUUUUACAAGUUUUUGAGAGAUUUUGAAGGAGAAACGUGGAGAGAACAAGAGGACAACAUCGCGUCAAGUGAAGAUUGAUUCGGGUGAUGACGUUUCUUCAGCUAUUUUUAUGUUUUCUUCUUUUUAGCAUUUAGGCUAGAUUUUUCAUUGCUAGGAGAUCGACGAACCUUGUAAUACUACGUUUGAUUUUUUAUUUGGAUAUUUGACAUCUUUAAAUGCAUAUUCCGGAAUUGAAUGGUUUAUUACGUUUUUAUUUUCAUAUGAUUAUUGCGCACGUAAUUAUGUGAUUGUGGUGGCCUGUUUUAUACAUUCGAAAGAAGGAAAAUAAGUUCGACAUAGUAUAAAUGAUCAUAGGGUCCGAUAGGGAAUAGAAAUAUACCUCUAUCCACUUACAUCAGUGAAAGGUGUUCGUAGUUUCCUUGGGCAUGCCGGGUUCUACAGAAGGUUCAUCAAGGAUUUCUCAAAGAUUACUAAACCACUAUGCUGUUUGUUGAUGAAGGAAUUCACAUUUGAGUUCACGGAUGAGUGUCUGCUGGCUUUUAACACCUUGAAAGAGAAGUUGAUUUCAGCACCCGUGAUCAUCACACCGAAUUGGAAUCUGCCAUUUGAAUUAAUGUGCGACACCAGUGAUUUUGCUAUUGGGGCCAUAUUGGGAUAACGAAGAAAUAAGAUAUUUCACGUGAUCUACUAUGCAAGCAAGAUAUUGAACGACACUCAACUAAAUUAUGCCACUACAGAGAAAGAGCUCCUUGCCGUAGUCUACGCCUUUGACAAAUUUCGAUUAUUCCUUGUGGGGUCAAAGGUCAUUGUUUAUAGAGAUCACGCUGCUAUCAAGUACUUAAUGAAAAAGAAGGAUGCAAAGUCAUGUCUCAUUCGUUGGACACUGUUGCUUCAAGAGUUUGACUUGGAAAUCAGGGAUAAGAAGGGUAGUGAAAACGUGGUGGCAGACCACUUGUCUCAACUCGAGGCAACAGAAUAGACAGAGACAGUGGAAAUCAACGAAGUCUUCCCAGAUGAACAGAUUUUUGGUGUGGGUAAAGCACCCUGGUAUGCGGACAUAGUUAACUACUUAGCCAGGUCUAUCAUGCCGCCAAAUUACUCAAGUCACCAAAAGAAGAAAUUUUUCACUGAAUUGAAGUAUUAUUUUUGGGAGGACCCCAUUCUAUACUGGCGGGGGCCUGAUCAAAUUGUUCAUCGCUGCGUAUCUGAGGAAGAAGUGCCUUUGAUAUUAAAACAUUGUCAUUCAUCUAAAUAUGCAGGGCAUUUUGGUGCUUCAAAAACAACGACGAAGAUCCUUCAGUCAGGUUUUUACUGGCCUACUCUGUUUAAGGAUGCUUUUGAAUUUGUGAAAAUGUGUGACCGAUGUCAACGCACUAGUAAUAUAUCCAGGAGAAAUAAAAUGCCUUUGAACAGUAUCCUAGAGGUGGAACUAUUCGACGUCUGGGGGAUCGACUUCAUGGGGCCAUUUCCCCCAUCCUUCUCUAAUCAGUAUAUAUUAGUGGCUGUGGAUUACGUAUUGAAGUGGGUAGAGGCUGUUGCAUUGCCUACCAACGAUGGGAAGGUGGUGAUUGAGUUUCUAAAGAAAAAUAUUUUUACCCGCUUCGGCACACUAAUGGCUAUAAUCAGUGACGGGGGCAAACAUUUCUGCAAUCGCCAGUUUGAACAAUUGUUGACUAAAUAUGGCGUUAAACAUCGUGUAGCCACUGUAUAUCAUCCCCAAACCAGCGGACAGGUUGAAGUGUCCAAUAGGCAAUUGAAGAGAAUACUCGAAGUCAUAGUAAGAUCGUCACGAAAAGAUUGGUCUAAGAAACUGGACGACACCUUGUGGGCCUAUAGGACUGCAUUCAAGACCCCUAUAGGAAUGUCACCAUAUCGACUGGUUUUCGGGAAGGCAUGCCACUUACCUCUUGAGAUAGAACACCAUGCUUACUGGGCAAUGAAGAAAUUGAAUUUGGACUUGAAUGCUGCAAGUGAAAAACGUCUACUACAACUUAAUGAGCUGGAUGAGCUCAUAAUGGAAGCCUACGAGAAUUCAAGACUCUACAAAGAACGCACCAAGAAAUGGCAUGAUAUGCAUACGGUGGGGGUAAAAAGUGCUACUCUACAACUCUAGGCUUAAACUGUUUCCAAAAAAGCUGCGAUCGAGAUGGUCUGGUUCGUAUACUAUUACACAGGUAUUUCCACAUGGGGCAGUGGAGAUCACUCACGACAGUAAGGGGACAUUCAAGAUCAAUGGACAGCAUUUGAAGCACAAUUGGGGCGGCAAUUUUUCAAAGGAAAAGUCUACCAUUCAUCUUAAACCAUCAGAAUGACGCAAUACGAUAAAGUGGAGCUAUCGACUAUAACCUAACGCUAGGUGGGAGGCAACCCACUGUAUCCUUCUAUUUAGCUUACUUUUCACAUUAUUUUUAGAUUUGUUUAAUUUUUGCAUAUACAUUUUUCUAGGUCAUCGUUCAUACAUACAUGUUAAUAGGAUCAAAUUAUCGUCCCCAUAACUUUAUAGGCAUUACACACAUGGUCGGGGAGUUUGAAAUGAUUUUGAGUGUUUGGGAGUAUGAUUCGCGCAUUUCUAGAUAAAAGAAAGUUUUUUUUUUAUUAUAAAAAAAAUUUUACGAGGGAAAUAUCUUUUUGUUUUUCAGUAUGUUAGAAAAAAAAAAUAAUAAUAAAUAAAAAUAAUUUUGGUUUAUGCGAUUGCAUAGACACCUACCGAACAUCAAAUGGGGGCAAUUUUCAUUACUAUGCGACCGCAUAGUAGACCUCGGUCAUGAUUUUAAACCAUGAUCGAGCCAUUUCCUCCCCCAUAUUUACAUCACGCUCUUCAAACUUCUCACACCACACUCCCACACGAAUCACACCCAUCCUUCACUGCAUUCUCUCCCCCAUUGAUACCAUCAAUCGGCACUCCUCACAUCCAUAGUGAUUUCAAGGUACGUUAUUUGUCCUUUUUCCUCUAUUCAUUUUUUUCCCUUUCAUUUGGUUCGUAAUGAGCAACAAACAUUUUUGGGCUUGAGUGUAGAGAAUGGGCAAUAGAUAGUCGAUGGAGUUGUGUAUUUUGAACUUAAAUUGUGUUGUGGAUUGGUGGGACAUUUUUAAAUUUGAAUUUUGUAGGGUUUACAAUUAAUGACUAUUAAAUGUUCGAUAAAAUGCCUAAUUGAGCUUUGUGGUGCAUUAUGUGGAAUCCCGCAUUUGAUAAUCUAAAUAUGUACACUACCAUGCACAUUGCGAUCAAAUGCCAUAAAAAUUGAGCUCGAAACACUUACGUACCAACCACACACGUAGGCACACGUGCUAGGCUCACGUCACUUCACAACACCCAUUUCGUCCCUUGCGUUAAGUACCCAUACAACAUCCAAUGAGCUUGAAAUUUGAAUAUGUGCCACUCCACACUAUAUACUUUCAUAUGCCCGGAGGUUGCUCGGGAAAAUUUUGAGUUUUCUCAAUGAUGUCCGGGGUGAAAGUGCUCACUUACUCACGGGUCCCUUGACACAUUUUUGGAUGUUUUGAACUUCAUUUGGUGUGUGUAUUGUUAUUUUGCCUUCCUUUUAUGUUCUUGAGCAUGUUUUCUUGAAGUUUGCAUAUGCCACAUUCAUAAACACAUAUAAAACAUCACAUCCAUUUUGCAAGACGUAGGCACAUGGCUAGGUCAGGGCAUGUCACGGCACCCUACGUCCCCUACUUUACACUAUUAUAUGGCAUACCAAACGAAGUCCAUUUGCUUUGAAAUUUGAAUAUAUGGUAAAUCUCAUUGAAUACUUUCAUAUGCCUAGAGAUUUCCUUGGGAAAUUUCGAUAUUUUUUGAUGAUGUCCGGGGCUGAACAUUCGCACUCGAUCAUGGGUCCAAUUUUUCAAAUGCGCUUAUUUCAGCCUAAAUUUCCAAUUUUUCAUAUUGGUACACUAUUCACAUCACUUUGAAUGUCAUGUUUUUCUGAAUGCACACCAAGAAGUUCAAUAUGCAUGUUGAAGCAAGUUUGGGGGAUUUGUGAAAUACAUAUCUUGCUAAUCUCAUUCCCCCUCUCGUUUUUUUCAAAAUGAAGUUUAAUGAAUGCUAUUCUUUUACCUUUGCAGGAUGCCUCCAAAAAGAACAUCAAAAGGAAAGGAGAAGGUUGGUUCUACAUCUGGCACAGCCCGGACUAGGGAGCCCGAAGGAGGUGUCAGGCAUUUUCUAUCUUCAGACCAAGCAACCCGUUACGCCAAUGUUGUUCGUGAGUGAGCUCUCAUCCUCGAAAGUCUAGUUAAGUUGGAUGAUUUCCCGGGUUUUAAAUUGGUGUAUUUAAUCCACAACUGUGGUUGGGAGAAAGUGAUUGAAAACCCACACCCCCUCUAUGAAAAUUUGGUACGGGAAUUCUAUGCAAACUUCAAUGCUGAAAUAGACACACCUGGAUCCGAUCAUCUGCAUCAAACAUGGGUUCGGGGCAAAUGGAUCCUGUUUUCACCUGAAGUUAUUCAUGACUACUAUCAGCUUACCUGGACUAAUGUGGUCACAGUCCCGCAUGAUUUCAACUGGGUUGAAGUUGCAGAGGUUUUAUUAGGACGUGACAAUGCUUGACGUCUCCCUAAUGCUGAUUGGUACCAGAUUGACCUCACUCCUUCUAUAGCCAUCGUAUGGUUGUUUAUCUGUCGAACAUCAAGUCCAUCUCGCAUAGGACGACAUUCACAAAUCAGAAGGCGAGGUUCAUCUAUCACUUAGUUCGGGGCAACAAGAUUGACUUGGCUACUUACAUUUACAACUAGAUACACAUUACAGGCGCUUGGGGAGACAAGCACACCUCACUGAUUUUCCCGAGCUUGAUAAGUGGGGUUUGUAGAGCUGCUGGGGAGGCAUCGGAGAAAUCAAGUCCAUUUAUCAAGCGCCUCACACUCAAGGCCCAGGAUCGGGCCAGAAUUAAACAUCAACAGAAAUUGAAAAACGAGCGCCGACGACGACAACAGGCUGAAGAAGGGCAAGCAGCCGAGGACUUUGAAAUGUCACAAGCUCCACCACCACCGGCUGACAUGGACACACAGUUAUUGAGGCAGAUGUUUGCCACUAUGACUGGACACAGUCAAGACAUGCAGCAGCUUCAACACUCCUUUGGAGCACCGAGUACCACCAUCCAGCAGGUGUAGACGGAUAUGGCAUCCGCACGAAACUUCACUUCCACUGCUAGUAGUGAGUCUCUCGCGGCACACCGACAGAUGAGUACCUUUGAUGGGCGAUUGGGUAUGCACGCUGGCAGAAUGGAUGGUAUACAGUGGCGGGUAAAUGAGACUUAGGACCGUCUUGGAAGUUUGGAGACAAGGGUACAGGCCAUGCAGGUGGAGCAGACCCAGCAGUCUGCCAUAUGGCGAGAGAUUUUAGCCCGCCUACCGUCCCCUCUUGGAGAUGAUGUUGCCAGACCCAGCUUUCCUUCGCAACCACCAUUUUGAUCAGGGGAGUACUGUUUACCCCAUUUUGAUUUUUCUUCUUCAUUUUGUCCUUAAAAUUAUGUUUUUAAUCUUUUGUUAAUCUUAAUUGAGGACAAUGUAUUAACUAAGUUUGGGGAGGGUGACAUAAUUUUAAAUCUCUAUCUGUGUUCAUCAUUAUUUAUUUUUCACUGAUUUACAUUACUACAUAAUGUGUGCAUGAUGAGUGUUGUAAAAAAAUUGUAUUUUAUUCAGUUUGUUUUAAAUUCUCUUUAUGCAUGCUUGUGUGAAUUUGAUAACCUUAUUAGCUAUGAUGAUAUUAUUGAACUAGUGUAAACUACAAAACUUUGGAUCUGGUGUUAAUUAGACCAACUGAUACUUGUGGAUGCAACACUUGACAUUAUCUAUGCAUGCUAUUCAUGCUUGACAUAUUAGGAGAAUGAUUGAAUUCUGAGCAUAAAGCAAGAAAAGAAUGAUAACCCUCUAUUGAAUUAACCCAUAAACUAUCUUAAGACAGUUUGGUGAUAGUUUAGCUAUUAUAUGAAAGCACUGAGAUGAGCGAAAGCUCCGUGCAUGAAACUUAUUGAUGUGGAUUGCCUAGACUAGUGGGAUGAAAAGUAGGUGAAAAUCUUAAAUUGGGGGUUGGUUUUGGAAACUAAAUGUCUAGAAAAAUAACAAAGGGCACAAAAUUAAUAUGUGAGAAUAAAACACUUCUUUUCAUGCCUUUAGGACUCAAGCAAGUAAGCCUGUAAGGAUAUUUCAAAAUCUGGUGCCUCAAAAACCAACUGGCCUGGGAGUCACCGGCCCAAAGCUCGGUACAUGGGUCAUAUAGAAAGCAAGAGGGAAAGAAGUUAAUAAAAAGUCAUCUUAUUGAGCAUUUAUAACUCGAGUGAAUAAGCCUGCAAAGGUUUAAAACCUGGUACCCUAAAGCCAACUGGUUUGGGAAUCACCGGCCUAAAGCUUGUUACAUGGAUUAUAUAGAAAGCAAAAGAGAAGAUGACAAUCAAUUAGAAAUUAAAGAAAUGGAAGAAAAACAAAAUAGAGACAAUAACAUGACGAAAAGCCCUUAGACAUUUGGUUGAAAAGACUAUACCUCUGAAGGAGGCAAGUAACCUAGUUUAAUCUUGAGUGUCGAAGCAAUCAAAUUUAGGAGAGCCUUCUCUUUUUGAAAUGUAAACUUGUGAUAGUAAGGCUAAAUCCAAACUAUAACGGGGUGAGGACUACCGCUAUAUAAAUUCCUAAUAUUAAAACACAACCCCGGGAUAAUUGAGCAAAAAGAAUAAAUUUGGGGGGUUGUGUAUCUCUCGAGCGAGUAAGAAUACAUUUGACCACUUGGGGUCGGGACUCAAAUUCAUCAUGAACCUGAUAUGUUGGCAUGAAUUCACACACACACACACUUCAAUUUGCAUUUAACAGGUAAAUGUUGGUGUCUUGUUUGCACUAAUAAAUUUUCAUAAAGUCAAAUACAUAGUCCAAUCCUGAGUCACAACAGGGUAUUAAGCCAUGUUUGCUCAGAAUUAAGUCACAAUCUUUUUUGAGGACAAACAAUAGUUCAAGUUUGGGGGUUUGAUAAGUGUGUUUUUGCACACUUAUUUAGGUCACAAACAUGAUUGAAUAACAAGCAAAAUGAUUGAAUUAUGACUUAAUUUUGUUACAUUUUUGAAUUGUAGGGAACAACGAUGAACAUGGUGAAAUUCAGGAAAAAGACGCAAAAAAGGACUAAAAUGACGCAAAGUGAAAGUUCAGGGACCAAGGUGCAAUUAUCCAAAAGUUGACCCAAUGAACAAAUCGAGAAAUUGAUUAAGCCAAUUGCCAAUUGAUGAUAUCUUGGGAUGAUGGAAUGGAAAGAAUAAAGAAAGGAUGCCAAAAAGUGAAGGAUUCAAUUAGGAGGACCAAAAUGAACACCUUUCAUAGUUGGUAGACUGCAUACUUCUGCCCUCUAUGCGGUCGCAUAGAGCCAAACCGAACUUAAAAUGACAGAAUUUUUACUCUAUGCGACCGCAUAGAGUUGCUCUAUGCGGUCACAUAGAGCAAUUCUCGGGUAAAAUUGCAGUUUCCUUUUUCCGCCAAAACUCUUAUGGAAACAAUAUUUUUAGGGUCCUAUAUAAACAAAAGCUUGACCAGAAUGAAGGGGACGCCAUUUUUACAAGGUAUAUAUGCAAAGUGUAACUACACCAUAUAUAACAAUGUGUAUUUUUGUAUAUUUUCCUUAAUUAUAUAAAAUCAUAAAAACUUUACCUUUCACGAUUAUAAAACUAUUUUAGAAACUUUAUCAGCAAACAUACAUUAGAUUUUAAAAUAUCGAAGAUAUUCAUAAUAACACAAUACAUGCGAGGUUGAGCUCAAGGUUAACAAUUUUAUUAUUAUUAUUAUUAUUGCUAAUUUUUGUUGAGAAAAAUGUAGGGAAAUCUGAAAAAUUAAUGAACUCCAAUGCACGAAAAACGUUAUCUUUUAAGAGAUGUUUUUCCUCUAUCCAACAAAGUCACAACUGGGGUAUGAUAGAAAAUCUCUCUCAAGAUACAAUGGAGGCGUUUUAUUCAAAUUGUGACUAUUUGAUCAAAUCAAGAAGACGUUAAAAAAAAAGGACUGAUGAUACCAAGAGAAAUAGAGAAGAAUAAUUUUUUUAAUGUCACCCUCCUGGAGAUGAUGUUGCCAGACCCAGCUUUCCUUCGCAACCACCAUUUUGAUCAGGGGAGUACUGUUUACCCCAUUUUGAUUUUUCUUCUUCAUUUUGUCCUUAAAAUUAUAUUUUUAAUCUUUUGUUAAUCUUAAUUGAGGACAAUGUAUUAACUAAGUUUGGGGAGGGUGACAUAAUUUUAAAUCUCUAUCUGUGUUCAUCAUUAUUUAUUUUUCACUGAUUUACAUUACUACAUAAUGUGUGCAUGAUGAGUGUUGUAAAAAAAUUGUAUUUUAUUCAGUUUGUUUUAAAUUCUCUUUAUGCAUGCUUGUGUGAAUUUGAUAACCUUAUUAGCUAUGAUGAUAUUAUUGAACUAGUGUAAACUACAAAACUUUGGAUCUGGUGUUAAUUAGACCAACUGAUACUUGUGGAUGCAACACUUGACAUUAUCUAUGCAUGCUAUUCAUGCUUGACAUAUUAGGAGAAUGACUGAAUUCUGAGCAUAAAGCAAGAAAAGAAUGAUAACCCUCUAUUGAAUUAACCCAUAAACUAUCUUAAGACAGUUUGGUGAUAGUUUAGCUAUUAUAUGAAAGCACUGAGAUGAGCGAGAGCUCCGUGCAUGAAACUUAUUGAUGUGGAUUGCCUAGACUAGUGGGAUGAAAAGUAGGUGAAAAUCUUAAAUUGGGGGUUGGUUUUGGAAACUAAAUGUCUAGAAAAAUAACAAAGGGCACAAAAUUAAUAUGUGAGAGUAAAACACUUCUUUUCAUGCCUUUAGGACUCAAGCAAGUAAGCCUGUAAGGAUAUUUCAAAAUCUGGUGCCUCAAAAACCAACUGGCCUGGGAGUCACCGGCCCAAAGCUCGGUACAUGGGUCAUAUAGAAAGCAAGAGGGAAAGAAGUUAAUAAAAAGUCAUCUUAUUGAGCAUUUAUAACUCGAGUGAAUAAGCCUGCAAAGGUUUAAAACCUGGUACCCUAAAGCCAACUGGUUUGGGAAUCACCGGCCUAAAGCUUGUUACAUGGAUUAUAUAGAAAGCAAAAGAGAAGAUGACAAUCAAUUAGAAAUUAAAGAAAUGGAAGAAAAACAAAAUAGAGACAAUAACAUGACGAAAAGCCCUUAGACAUUUGGUUGAAAAGACUAUACCUCUGAAGGAGGCAAGUAACCUUGUUUAAUCUUGAGUGUCGAAGCAAUCAAAUUUAGGAGAGCCUUCUCUUUUUGAAAUGUAAACUUGUGAUAGUAAGGCUAAAUCCAAACUAUAAGGGGGUGAGGACUAUCGCUAUAUAAAUUCCUAAUAUUAAAACACAACCCCGGGAUAAUUGAGCAAAAAGAAUAAGUUUGGGGGGUUGUGUAUCUCUCGAGCGAGUAAGAAUACAUUUGACCACUUGAGGUUGGGACUCAAAUUCAUCAUGAACCUGAUAUGUUGGCAUGAAUUCACACACACACUUCAAUUUGCAUUUAACAGGUAAAUGUUGGUGUCUUGUUUGCACUAAUAAAUUUUCAUAUAGUCAAAUACAUAGUCCAAUCCUGAGUCACAACAGGGUAUUAAGCCAUGUUUGCUCAGAAUUAAGUCACAAUCUUGUUUGAGGACAAACAAUAGUUCAAGUUUGGGGAUUUGAUAAGUGUGUUUUUGCACACUUAUUUAGGUCACAAACAUGAUUGAAUAACAAGCAAAAUGAUUGAAUUAUGACUUAAUUUUGUUACAUUUUUGAAUUGUAGGGAACAACGAUGAACAUGGUGAAAUUCAGGAAAAAGACGCAAAAAAGGACUAAAAUGACGCAAAGUGAAAGUUCAGGGACCAAGGUGCAAUUAUCCAAAAGUUGACCCAAUGAACAAAUCGAGAAAUUGAUUAAGUCAAUUGCCAAUUGAUGAUAUCUUGGGAUGAUGGAAUGGAAAGAAUAAAGAAAGGAUGCCAAAAAGUGAAGGAUUCAAGUAGGAGGACCAAAAUGAACACCUUUCAUAGUUGGUAGACUGCAUACUGCUACCCUCUAUGCGACCGCAUAGAGCCAAACCGAACUUAAAAUGACAGAAUUUUUACUCUAUGCGACCGCAUAGAGUUGCUCUAUGCGGUCACAUAGAGCAAUUCUCGGGUAAAAUUGCAGUUUCCUUUUUCCGCCAAAACUCUUAUGGAAACAAUAUUUUUAGGGUCCUAUAUAAACAAAAACUUGACCAGAAUGAAGGGGACGCCAUUUUUACAAGUUUUUGAGAGAUUUUGAAGGAGAAACGUGGAGAGAACAAGAGGACAACAUCGCGUCAAGUGAAGAUUGAUUCGGGUGAUGACGUUUCUUCAGCUAUUUUUAUGUUUUCUUCUUUUUAGCAUUUAGGCUAGAUUUUUCAUUGCUAGGAGAUCGACGAACCUUGUAAUACUACGUUUGAUUUUUUAUUUGGAUAUUUGACAUCUUUAAAUGUAUAUUCCGG